UAGGUGUGUAUGAAGAUCAUCCUCAUUUCAGUGCUUGUUUUCACACUCUGGAGUUUUUCUAGAAUCAGGAUCUAAAUGAACUCAUUGUAGUGAAAAUGAGCUCAGUGGACAUCAGUAUUAAUAUGACUGUAAUAUCGUCUCUCUCUCAGUGAUUGUGAUUGUUGUCGCUUCAUUCGCUGUUCUCCUUCCUGCUCUUAUUCUCUGGAUGAUUCGCAGAAAAAGAGACGAUAACAGAAGAGGAACUGAUGACUCUGAGGAGCUGAUAUAUGAUGAGACUUACACUGAGGUCACUUAUACUGAGGACUACAGUAAAAACAAGACAAAAAGAACAAGGGGAGAAACACUUCCUUGAUGUUGUCCAGCUUCUCUCAACAUGAUAGUUUGUGUUUUCCUCUGAAUUUGUGUCAUGAAUUGAGCUCAAACAUCAUGCUGUAAUAAUUGUGUGUUGAAACAAUAACUGUGAUGUUCAUUCAGGUUCGCUGUGAUGAUAAAGUGACUUCUGCUUCCAUCAGAGGAGCAAAAGCUGGAUCUCAGGAAAACUGCAGUGAACUUUAUGCCUCUGUGAACAAGAACCAUCACAAAUCAGUCAAAUAAUGACACAAAAACCACAUGAGCAGAAGAAUAUGAAUCUAAUAUAAUUGAGUCCUAAUGGUGUCAUUCAGUGCCAUUAUAAAUACUUUCAAUGUCUUUUACAUGUUCACAAACAAACCCAAGUGAUGCUCUGAUUUAUUUGUAGUUAUUGCUUAUUUUUCUCAGUUCAGCAUGUUUUUUGUAUAGUUUCUGUCUGCUUGUUGAUCAGUUAAUGCUAGUGUCUUUAUUAUUCAUUCAGAGCUGCAGGUUUGGACAAAGUCUAGAAAAUGGGGACACUUUUACUCUCUUACAUCAUUCUCAUUAAAUCAUCUAUUUUCUCCAGCAGUUAAUUAACUGUCAGCUUGCACUAAUUAUGAGAACAGCCAAAAGCUAUUUGAUGAUGUAAGUGUUUAUCACAAUAUGAUAUUUUUGUCAAUAACCAUUUGAUCAUC
Molecule: long non-coding RNA, 1022 nt
Organism: Megalobrama amblycephala (Wuchang bream)
Lineage: Eukaryota; Metazoa; Chordata; Actinopteri; Cypriniformes; Xenocyprididae
Exons: 3
Source: RefSeq, a predicted model, not a curated record